GACGAACGCUGGCGGCGCGCCUAACACAUGCAAGUCGAACGAGAGAUGAGGAGCUUGCUCUUCAAAUCGAGUGGCGAACGGGUGAGUAACGCGUGAGGAACCUGCCUCAAAGAGGGGGACAACAGUUGGAAACGACUGCUAAUACCGCAUAAGCCCACGGCUCGGCAUCGAGCAGAGGGAAAAGGAGCAAUCCGCUUUGAGAUGGCCUCGCGUCCGAUUAGCUAGUUGGUGAGGUAACGGCCCACCAAGGCGACGAUCGGUAGCCGGACUGAGAGGUUGAACGGCCACAUUGGGACUGAGACACGGCCCAGACUCCUACGGGAGGCAGCAGUGGGGAAUAUUGCACAAUGGGGGAAACCCUGAUGCAGCGACGCCGCGUGGGGGAAGAAGGUCUUCGGAUUGUAAACUCCUGUUGUUGAGGAAGAUAAUGACGGUACUCAACAAGGAAGUGACGGCUAACUACGUGCCAGCAGCCGCGGUAAAACGUAGGUCACAAGCGUUGUCCGGAAUUACUGGGUGUAAAGGGAGCGCAGGCGGGAGAACAAGUUGGAAGUGAAAUCCAUGGGCUCAACCCAUGAACUGCUUUCAAAACUGUUUUUCUUGAGUAGUGCAGAGGUAGGCGGAAUUCCCGGUGUAGCGGUGGAAUGCGUAGAUAUCGGGAGGAACACCAGUGGCGAAGGCGGCCUACUGGGCACCAACUGACGCUGAGGCUCGAAAGUGUGGGUAGCAAACAGGAUUAGAUACCCUGGUAGUCCACACCGUAAACGAUGAUUACUAGGUGUUGGAGGAUUGACCCCUUCAGUGCCGCAGUUAACACAAUAAGUAAUCCACCUGGGGAGUACGACCGCAAGGUUGAAACUCAAAGGAAUUGACGGGGGCCCGCACAAGCAGUGGAGUAUGUGGUUUAAUUCGACGCAACGCGAAGAACCUUACCAAGUCUUGACAUCCUGCGACGCACAUAGAAAUAUGUGUUUCCUUCGGGACGCAGAGACAGGUGGUGCAUGGUUGUCGUCAGCUCGUGUCGUGAGAUGUUGGGUUAAGUCCCGCAACGAGCGCAACCCUUAUGGUCAGUUACUACGCAAGAGGACUCUGGCCAGACUGCCGUUGACAAAACGGAGGAAGGUGGGGAUGACGUCAAAUCAUCAUGCCCUUUAUGACUUGGGCUACACACGUACUACAAUGGCGUUAAACAAAGAGAAGCAAGACCGCGAGGUGGAGCAAAACUCAGAAACAACGUCCCAGUUCGGACUGCAGGCUGCAACUCGCCUGCACGAAGUCGGAAUUGCUAGUAAUCGUGGAUCAGCAUGCCACGGUGAAUACGUUCCCGGGCCU
This 1332-nucleotide ribosomal RNA is filed under the name uncultured bacterium. Its description in RNAcentral is "bacterial SSU rRNA". It matches the Rfam family "Bacterial small subunit ribosomal RNA", at positions 28 to 1381 of the family's 1533-position model. The record is from RNAcentral.